CCCGGCGCUCUCGCAGCUGCCAAUCAUGCUUCCUAGCCCAGCCCCUGCGAGCGCUUUGGCGACUUUCCGCUGCCCCUCACCGCCCUCCCGCCCCACUCAGGAGCGCCUCGCUCCAAGGAUUUACUCAGGAGUGACUAAGUGCACGUAGGUCACAAAGUAACACCAGAAAACGUCCACGUUUUCCCUGGUCCAUCAGAACAUCGGCCGCCUCCCCUCAGCUGUCUGCAGCCUGCCCUGCCCCUAAGUGCUUGAGAGAUGCGUUUUCAAAUGACACGUUGAGAUCCAGCAGUGAAUAGUCAAAUCUAGUGAGUCGGGGGCACAUUUCUUUCCCGAAUAAAAUAGUAACGAUACAUCCUGACUGGAUAAUAAACUAUGUGAUCAACGUACUUCCAGCUCUCAAAGAUAUGAUUCUGUACAGCCCUCUGGUCAGAUCUUCCGGCGACUCAUUCAAUGAAUUCCUUUACCUAAGAGGCCAGGGUUUGUGCCACGGUCUCCAGGGAAUAAAGUGGAGUCCACAUGAGCAGCUUGGACCACAUACAGCAGUAACGAGGUAUCUCUAUACUUCCUCGCUGUGGUGGUAUCAGAAGAGACCUAUUGGAAAUUCAGGACUGUCACUAUUGCCUAGAGUAAUGAAGCCACUACCACAUCCGUGGAGACCACGUGGGGAGGUGGAACUCCAACCUGUACUCAGAAAUAGUGAGAUGCUUCUCUCCUCCCUGCCUCUACCACACAGGUGUCAUUGGAUGUCAAGGGGGGAGCCCAGACCUCUUCUGGCAGUAACAAGGUGUUUGAAAGUCAUAAUAUGAUGAAGGAUGAUACAAUCAUGUGAUUUUUUAAUUGAUGGUUGUGGUAAAAGUAACCUCCUCCACCGAAAAAGGAGGCCUAGAAGUCACUGGCAGCUUUCUUCUUCACAUUCUGACAUGAGGGAAGCCAGCUAAAGGAUGAAGAAAAUACACAGAGGAAGUAAAGCUAAGAGAAUUCCAGGAAGAUGAGACCUGAUGACAUUGUGGACCUUUGGGUCAAACUUAAAAGCUGCCCUAAUUCUGAACUUUUCAACUUCAUGAGUCAAUACAUUUCCUUAUAGUAAUCAAUCUGAAUAGGGGUUUCUAUAACAUGCAUAUGAAGGGUCCUUACUGAUAAAAUCUGAAUUACUUUUUAAAUUAAAAUCUAUUUUAUAUAAAAUGCCACACUGCAAAUAAGGUAAAUAUAGGCUCCAGUCUGCAUUAUCUAGCAAUAAUAACAGCAUUGAUUACCUAUGUUCCUUUUUACUUACAUUCUUAAAGCAUGACAAUUGUAUAUCUAAUAUUACAUUGCUUGCUACAAAACAUUUAAUAAUUUUAGGAAGUGGUAAAUGUGAAUAUUAAAGAAAAAAGAAAAUUUUGUCUCUGUAUAAUUAAUUUGCUUUUAGUUGUCAGUUAAAUCAUGAUUUGAGUAUAAAUACAAAUCCUUUGUAUUAAAAGGAAACAAGACCAAUGUUUCAUUGCAGCUAAUGCUAGGACUCUGAAAUCAUGACGAUCCUUGUGUAAACUUAAAUCAUAUAGCCCUACGAGCUCAGUUUCCUUAAAUGAAAUGUUUUGUGAAAUGAUCUAUGUGUGCAUAUUAUAUAUAUAUAUAUAUAUAUUUAUGAUUAUGAGAUUUAUGUUUUCUUUAUGAAGACACAAGUCUGAGCUUUUAAGAUCUUGACCUUACGUUUGUUGAAUGAAUAAAUAUGGCAAAGAUUUUUGGUAAGAUUUCAUAAGGAGUUCAAAAAGGACUCAAAGUCAAUUUGUUAUAUGGAAAAUCUGCUUUUGGAAAAAUUUAUUUAUUGAAGGUGAAAAAGUGGAGAUGCAACUUAAAUAUUCUGAUUCAAAAAUUGAAACCAUAUGCCAUAUAUCGUUAACAGGCAAGGAAUCGAGAGAAAAGUACAGAAACUCAUUCUUUGACUAUGAUGUUGAAAGUGAGUUCAAUAGCCAUGAGACUUCUGUUGAAGUUACUGUCACAAUGCAUUGAAAUGAAUGGACUCUUCUAUUUGUCUGUAUAAAAAUUUGCCUUGGUUCUUGAGUUUUACAACCUUUUAAAUCAAAACUUAACUGUCAGGCAAUAAUAUGACUACUUGGUCUUGAUCAUAAGUUGUAGUUUAAUGAUUUUAAUGUGGCCUGUCUACAUUUAUCUGCUUUUAUCUCUCUCACUCUUCCGCUGGACUUUGCCCUUUUGAUGAAGAAUUAAUGUUUGAACAAGUCUUCAAAAGGAAUGGUGGAGCAAAAGAGAGGAAGGGGAGUGGCAGGAAGUGAGAAUAGAGUGAUGACCAAGGCUGAUGAAGAAGUUUAUUCUUUCAAGAAAGCUCUAGUGUGCCUCUGAAGGAACCUAAGCAAAGGAGAGCUCCUUGGCUUUCAGGUUCAAUUAUUACCUUAGUGGAGCUUGGUGCAGUUCUAAAAGGCAUUUUUCUUCCUCCCUAAACUUUUUCCUAUUCCCUUGUGACCUAGUUUACUCACUCUUUGCUGUAUCCAGUCCUUACCACCAAUCAUGGGUGCUCCAUGCUUUCUCACAGGCCAGGGAUCUCCAAAAAUAUUUGGUUGUAUGCCUUUAUCAGUUUAUAAAAUGUGACAAUACAAACUUUUUUCCCUUAUAUAAAAUAAGACCUUUAGGGCCAAUAUGGUGGCUCCAUGGUGUCGUAAGCUCCUUAUACCUUUCCGUCCCCAUAUUUCUCAUAUGGCUUCCCCUUUCAAAGUGAUAAGAUGGCAACCAGAGCCCUGAUCAUCAUAUCUGGGCCAAAGAAGGGAAAAAAGGAAGGAUCCUAUUUCUGUGUUCUCCCCUUUUAAGGGGACUUCUCAGAGAUUCCAUCCAAUAACUUCUAAUUGUUUAGAAUCUAAUCACUUGACCAUAACACAGCUGUAAAGAAGACUGGGGAAUAUAAUCUUUUAGCUGAAGAUUAUCCAGCUAUCACAGAAGAAGAGAAUGCUGUUUCUGCCAUUUUGCUUCAGAAUCUUUUUUCUAUUAAUUGUCAAGCAGUCACAAUGCUUUGCUAAAAUAUCUUAAGAAUAUGUUUUUUCCUCUAUGCACAUCUUUCCUUUUAACAAUCUCCAAAAUGUAUUUCUUCAAGGCAUUGGUACAGCACAAAGGAAAUUUAAUGACUAAUCUUAGUAGAGAUGAGUUAACACAUCUGUAUUUUUAUUCAGCUUGUAAAUCAUCUUCCUACACCGUGCGAUUUGCUCUAACAUUUGGCAAUGUCUUCUGUGAAUUUCUGAGUAAGUUACUGACAAAUGCUUUUUAAUCUGUUGCUACCUUGUACCUUGAUGUUAUUUCAGCCAUUUUUACUGUGCCACAAAAAGACACAUUUAUACGUAUUGCACGUCAUUUUGUAAAGUAUUCAACUGAACAUAUUAUGAUUUAAUCUUCACUAGAUUUCCUGGAUGUGUGGCUUUUAGUUAUCUAUUUAAUCAUGAUGUCUUCAUGCUAAUAUUACCUAUAAAUACAAGCUGCUUCUCUUUAGGAAAUUUUAGUAUCUUGAUGCAGACCUGAACUUCAUGUUAUUGACAUGACACAGACUUGUGCCUUAAACUAUUCAUAUCAGUGCUGUUUAAUAGCGAUUUGAGGUAAACUACGGUUGUAAUUUAAAAAUUUCUACAGCCACAUUAAAAAAUAUAGAAAGAAACAUAAGAUUAAUUUCAAUAAUAUCUAACCUAAUAUACACAAAACAUUAAAAUUUCAAAAGAAAAAUCACUAAAAAAUUAUUAGAGAUAUUUUAAUUUUCUUGUACUGUCUUUGAUUUUCAUUUAUAGUUUGUAUUUACAGUACAUGUUAAUUCAGACACGUCACAUUUGAAGUACUCAGUAGCUACCUGUGAUGAAUGGCAAUUGUAUCGGUCAGCACAGGCCCAGAUCUUACAUC
Long non-coding RNA from Sapajus apella (tufted capuchin), 3867 nucleotides. RefSeq lists it as uncharacterized. NCBI's taxonomy places the organism in Eukaryota, Metazoa, Chordata, Mammalia, Primates, Cebidae. The transcript has 4 exons. The record is from RefSeq and is a predicted model, not a curated record.